Molecule: ribosomal RNA, 489 nt
Filed under: uncultured bacterium
Lineage: Bacteria
Description: bacterial SSU rRNA
Rfam family: Bacterial small subunit ribosomal RNA
Source: RNAcentral
CGCUGGCGGCGUGCCUAAUACAUGCAAGUAGAACGCUGAAGGAGGAGCUUGCUUCUCUGGAUGAGUUGCGAACGGGUGAGUAACGCGUAGGUAACCUGCCUGGUAGCGGGGGAUAACUAUUGGAAACGAUAGCUAAUACCGCAUAAUAGUAGUUGUUGCAUGACAACUGUUUGAAAGGUGCAAUUGCAUCACUACCAGAUGGACCUGCGUUGUAUUAGCUAGUUGGUGGGGUAACGGCUCACCAAGGCGACGAUACAUAGCCGACCUGAGAGGGUGAUCGGCCACACUGGGACUGAGACACGGCCCAGACUCCUACGGGAGGCAGCAGUAGGGAACCUUCGGCAAUGGACGGAAGUCUGACCGAGCAACGCCGCGUGAGUGAAGAAGGUUUUCGGAUCGUAAAGCUCUGUUGUAAGAGAGGAACGAGUGUGAGAGUGGAAAGUUCACACUGUGACGGUAUCUUACCAGAAAGGGACGGCUAACUACGUG